GAUGAACGCUGGCGGCGUGCCUAAUACAUGCAAGUCGAACGCUGGAACUCUAGCUUGCUGGAUUGAAGGAGUGGCGAACGGGUGAGUAAUACAUAAGCAACCUACCCACGAAGACUGGGAUAAUCUCUGGAAACGGGGACUAAUACCGGAUAGGUAAUCGGAAGGCAUCUUAUGAUUAUUAAUUGUUAAAAACACUGGUGGAUGGGCUUAGGGUGCAUUAGUUAGUUGGUGAGGUAACGGCCCACCAAGACGAUGAUGCGUAGCCGGGCUGAGGGGGAGGACGGCCAGAUUGGGACUGAGACACGGACCAGAAUCGUACGGGAGGCAGCAGUAGGGAAGUUUAGGCAAUGGAGGAAACCCUGACCGAGCAACGCCGGGUGAGUGAGGACGGGCUUCGGGAUGUAAAGCUCUGUUGUAAGAAAAGAACGGUAGAUAGAGAAUAUCUAAAUGACGGUACCUUACCAGAAAGCCACGGCUAACUACGUG
This 486-nucleotide ribosomal RNA is filed under the name uncultured bacterium. Its description in RNAcentral is "partial 16S ribosomal RNA". It matches the Rfam family "Bacterial small subunit ribosomal RNA", at positions 28 to 507 of the family's 1533-position model. The record is from RNAcentral.